This 307-nucleotide non-coding RNA is filed under the name Stegodyphus mimosarum. RNAcentral describes it as "Eukaryotic small subunit ribosomal RNA". It matches the Rfam family "Eukaryotic small subunit ribosomal RNA", at positions 106 to 385 of the family's 1831-position model. The record is from Rfam by way of RNAcentral. Lineage: Eukaryota; Metazoa; Arthropoda; Arachnida; Araneae; Eresidae.
UUAGUUCGCUUAUCCCUUGGAUUGUACCUUACUACUUGGAUAACUGGAAAUUCUAGAGCUAAUGCAUGCAGCAGAGACUGACCCUCUAGGGACAAGAGAGCACUGACCCUCUAGGGACGAGUGUUUUUCUAUCAUCAAAACCAAUCGGACCUUGUGUCCGUGUUAUGUAGUGACUCUAUAUAACUUUGGGCUAAUCGCACGGGCACGUCCCGGCGACGUGUCUUCUAAGUGUCUGUUUUAUCAACUGCCGAUGGAAGGUCGUCUACCAUGGAUAUAACGGGUGAUGGGAAAUCAGGGUCCCAUUCCG